Molecule: non-coding RNA, 2719 nt
Organism: Arachis ipaensis
Lineage: Eukaryota; Viridiplantae; Streptophyta; Magnoliopsida; Fabales; Fabaceae
Source: RefSeq, a predicted model, not a curated record
ACGGCGUCGUUUAAGACUGUCUACGUGGACCACAAACCGUCAGCUCAGCGCUCUGGCUGCUGAGUCAUGUUGAAAAUAGGUGGAAGGACCAAAAUUUUGCACGAAGCUCAAUUUAAAAGGUGCAAUUAGAGUAUUGUAAAAGUCAAGAGUAACAUUAGUACACGAGCUCAAUUUGAGGACCAUUUUGGGAAUUUACUCCAGUUCCACCUCUUGGUUACUUCUUCCAUUAAAUGCUCAUCCUUAUGUGUCUUAUUGAAAAGAUACCAACGAAGCCUCUGCACCGCCUCAUCCCACCUCCUCUUCUUCUAUCUAAUAAACCCAGUGCUCUUCAUCCUCUUCAAAAUUAAAACACACACAAACGGAGGAAAGAACAGAGAAAAGAACGAAAUGAAGCUGAGGGAGAAGGAAGGAGCUAUCCGCAGCAAGAAGAUAAACUGCAUUCCUCAUCAUUCUGAAUCUUUGAAGCAUCCUCGCUGGUUGUAACCAUAAGUAAAGGAGGAGUGAGAACUCUUCUCUUGCUCAAGCUUGAAUCGGCCAUUUGUUCGUAAGGGGAGUGACCGAAGCUUCAAUUUCGUGUGGUUAGGGUUUCUAAUUCAAGAAAAAAGCACAAACAGAAUUUUGAACUUCAAAAGAGGUAAGGGUUAGGAUGUUUAGAAGGAUAUGUUUGUGAUUGAUUGAUGGUGCUGUUAGUGACUUGUGGGUCUGAUGUUACUUAAGGUUUUAUGUUGCUAUGUGCAGAAUUUCUUUGAAGGCUAAAGGCUAUGUUUUGUGAAUGAAUUAGUUGGUAGUAUGAGCUGCUGUGCUUGAAAUGGGUUCUAUUGUAACUAAAUCUAGUUGAAUGAUGAUGAAUGAUAACUUAUGUGAUUAAAUGAUGACAAGUGCUUGGGAAAAUUCUGUUUUAACGUGAUGCAGAAAAAUAAAUGUUCAUUAGUGUAUAAGCACUUGAAAACUUGAGAAAUAUUGGCUCUGGAUUUUUGGGGAUCUGCUAAUCACUCUUUAAUUAGUUAAAAGAAAGAUAGAAUUAUGGUUUUAGAAGAGUGAUAAGCUUAGAUAUAAAACUUGGUAGGUGAGGUUGUUAAGUUACUUGAUGCAGAAUUUCUGCAUAUUUGGCGGUGGCUUAAAAUAAAUGCUGGGAGCAGUCCGGACCACCGUUUUGGAUGAAAUUAUUUUUCUUUGAAAUACCGGUGUGUCUUGAAUAUUUCAUAAAAAUUUCAAGGAAUUUGGCUAAGUGGUUUAAAAGAUAUGAAUUUUUGAAAACAGAAGCUGCUGCAGAAUUUUUCUGGUUUUCUAGUUCUGCAAUAUCAAUUUCAAACCACUGGAACUUUUGUUUUACUUAACAUUUUAAGUUGCUACUAAAAGGGUUUUGAAGAUCUGUAUCUUAACUUUAAUUGAGUACAAAUUUCAUGUUCAUAUCUAUUUUGUAGACUUAAUUAAGUCACUUGGAAGUUGGAUUGCUUGCUGGAAAUUCUGAACUGAUUUAUGAAAACAAGGCAUCACUUCCAAAUGAGAAUUAAUUAAUCAAAUGAAGUGAUAUGAAACUGAAACUUGUUUGUUCUGAAACUUAUGGAUGUUGAGUGUAUCUUCACCAAAAUAUAGAAGCAACAGAUUAGAAUUGAAUUUACUAUGGAAUUUACGAAAACAGAGCUGCCUGCUGUUUUCCUGAAUUUUUAUGAGUGCAGCAACAGAUUUUCAAAGUUUGUUAUCAAAUUCAAUUCUAAUCCAAAUGCAGUAAAAUCUAAUUCAAAUUAAAGAUUAGGAUCUCUAGAAUGAACUUACUAAGAGAGAUAGUCCGUGCAUAAGCUUUCUCAACAUAAAACCACAUAACAAGACAGCAAGGUGCUGUUCCAAGAAUCUAGAAUAAGAGUCUCGGUUUUUUUUCAAUAUCUAGCAUUAAGCUUCCCAGAAAAAUACGAUUCAUAGUUCUUUAGAAAUUUGAGUUCAAUACGAACGCGUGGACAUAAAGUUUGCGCAAAUCUAAGUCCGUUUGUUAUAUUAAUUAUUAAAUAGAAGAUUGGUUGUCCAAAAAGGUAAUAAGCUAGACAAGUCAAGAAAAUAAAUAAGAAUGCAAGUUGUCCCUAGGAAGGUUUAAAGUUAAAAGGUGAUGCAGAAGUAUGCUUAGUAACAUGGUGAUACGGAGGUAUGUUUAGUAUCAUGGUGAUGCAGAGGUAUGCGUAUUUAUAAGGUGAUGCGGAGGCAUGAUGAAAAGAAAGAAAAUGAGAAACUAUGAAAGGAUAACGAUUCUUGAGAACUGUUUGUUUGAAUGGGCCUUUGUGCCAAAUUGCUAAUGCGGAAGUGAUCGCCUAACGGAUAGCCUAAGGUUGCUAAUGCGAGAAUGUCCGCCUAACUGAUAGCAUAAUGUAUGUUGAAUGAGACUUGUGCCAAAUUACUAAUGCGAAACUGUUCGUCUAACUGAUAGACCGAGAUUGCUAAUCCGGGAAUGUUAGCCUAAUUGAUAGCUUGUCUCUUAUCGUGAUGCCAAGAUAUCCUAAUUGAUAUGAGUUUGCCCAUGAUGAUAAUUGUGCCUAAUUGACACGGUAAAGAGACUAUAUUUGGAGUUCGCCCCGAGUAACGUCGGGUUGCGGGUAGACAACCGACGCAUGAGCUCAUAGCCUGUGCUAGGAACAAGCAUGCAUCAUAAAUUGUUUGCGCAUUUGAUUGUGAUUGUUUACUGUUCAUUCUUUCUGCUACUUGCUAUCUGCUUCUUGUUAAUUUUUUAUUC